CCUUUUUAGCUCACCUGGCCGAAAGGCCAAGUGAGCUUUUCUCAUCACUUGGCGUCCGGCGUCCGUCGUCCGUCGUCGUCGUCGUCGUCGUCGUCCUGCGUUAACUUUUACAAAAAUCUUCUCCUCUGAAACUACUGGGCCAAAUUUAACCAAACUUGGCCACAAUCAUCAUUGGGGUAUCUAGUUUAAAAAAUGUGUCCGGUGCCCCGCCCAACCAACCAAGAUGGCCGCCAUGGCUAAAAAUAGAACAUAGGGGUAAAAUGCAGUUUUUGGCUUAUAACUCAAAAACCAAAGCAUUUAGAGCAAAUCUGACAUGGGGGUAAUAUUGUUCAUCAGGUCAAGAUCUAUCUGCCCUGAAAUUUUCAGAUGAAUCGGACAUUUUGUUGUUGGGUUGCUGCCCCUGAAAUGGUAAUUUUAAGGAAAUUUUGCUGUUUUUAGCUCACCUGGCCCAAAGGGCCAAGUGAGCUUUUCCCAUCACUUGGCGUCCGUCGUCCGUCGUCCGUCGUCCGUCGUCGUCUGGCGUCGUUAACUUUUACAAAAAUCUUCUCCUCUGAAACUACUGGGCCAAAUUACACCAAACUUGGCCAAAAUCAUCAUUGGGGUAUCUAGUUUAAAAAAUGUGUCCGGUGACCCGGCCAACCAUCCAAGAUGGCCGCCAUGGCUAAAAAUAGAACAUAGGGGUAAAAUGCAGUUUUUGGCUUAUAACUCAAAAACCAAAGCAUUUAGAGCAAAUCUGACAUGGGGUAAACUUGUGUAACAGGUCAAGAUCUAUCUGCCCUGAAAUUUUCAGAUAAAUCGGAUAACCUGUUGUUGGGUUGCUGCCCCUGAAUUAGUAAUUUUAAGGAAAUUUUGCUGUUUUUGGUUAUUAUCUUGAAUAUUAUUAUAGAUAGAGAUAAACUGUAAACAGCAAUAAUGUUCAGCAAAGUAAUAUUUACAAAUAAGUCAACAUGACCGAAAUGGUCAGUUGACCCCUUUAGGAGUUAUUGCCCUUUAUAGUCAAUUUUUAACCAUUUUUCGUAAAUCUUAGUAAUCUUUUACAAAAAUCUUCUCCUCUGAAACUACUUGGCCAAAUCAAUCCAAACUUGGCCACAACCAUCUUUGGGGUAUGUAGUUUGAAAAAAUGUGUCCAGUGACCCAGCCAUCCAAUCAAGAUGGCCGCCAUGGCUAAAAAUAGAACCUUGGGUAAAAUGCAGUUUUUGGCUUAUAACUCAAAAACCAAAGCAUUUAGAGUAAAUCUGACAUGAGGUAAAUUUGUUUAUCAGGUCAAGAUCUACCUGCCCUGAAAUUUUCAGAUGAAUUGGACAACCCGGUUUUGGGUUGCUGCCCCAGAAUAAGUAAUUUUAAUGAAAUUUUGCUGUUUUUGGUUAUUAUCUUGAAUAUUAUUAUAGAUAGAGAUAAACUGUAAACCGCAAUAAUGUUCAGCAAAAAAAGAUUUACAAAUAAGUCAACAUGACCGAAAUGGUCAGUUGACCCCUUUAGGAGUUAUUGCCCUUAAUAGUCAAUUUUUAACCAUUUUUCGUAAAUCUUAGUAAUCUUUUACAUCUUCUCCUCUGAAACUACUUGGCCAAAUUACACCAAACUUGGCCAAAAUCAUCAUUGGGGUAUCUUGUUUAAAAAAUGUGUCCGGUGACCCGGCCAACCAUCCAAGAUGGCCGCCAUGGCUAAAAAUAGAACAUAGGGGUAAAAUGCAGUUUUGGGCUUAUAACUCAAAAACCAAAGCAUUUAGAGCAAAUCUGACAAGGUAAAAUUGUGUAACAGGUCAAGAUCUAUCUGCCCUGAAAUUUUCAGAUAAAUCGGAUAACCUGUUGUUGGGUUGCUGCCCCUGAAUUAGUAAUUUUAAGGAAAUUUUGCUGUUUUUGGUUAUUAUCUUGAAUAUUAUUAUAGAUAGAGAUAAACUGUAAACAGCAAUAAUGUUCAGCAAAGUAAUAUUUACAAAUAAGUCAACAUGACCGAAAUGGUCAGUUGACCCCUUUAGGAGUUAUUGCCCUUUAUAGUCAAUUUUUAACCAUUUUUCGUAAAUCUUAGUAAUCUUUUACAAAAAUCUUCUCCUCUGAAACUACUUGGCCAAAUCAAUCCAAACUUGGCCACAACCAUCUUUGGGGUAUGUAGUUUGAAAAAUGUGUCCAGUGACCCAGCCAUCCAAUCAAGAUGGCCGCCAUGGCUAAAAAUAGAACCUUGGGUAAAAUGCAGUUUUUGGCUUAUAACUCAAAAACCAAAGCAUUUAGAGUAAAUCUGACAUGAGGUAAAUUUGUUUAUCAGGUCAAGAUCUACCUGCCCUGAAAUUUUCAGAUGAAUUGGACAACCCGGUUUUGGGUUGCUGCCCCAGAAUAAGUAAUUUUAAUGAAAUUUUGCUGUUUUUGGUUAUUAUCUUGAAUAUUAUUAUAGAUAGAGAUAAACUGUAAACCGCAAUAAUGUUCAGCAAAAAAAGAUUUACAAAUAAUUCAACAUGACCGAAAUGGUCAGUUGACCCCUUUAGGAGUUAUUGCCCUUAAUAGUCAAUUUUUAACCAUUUUUCGUAAAUCUUAGUAAUCUUUUACAUCUUCUCCUCUGAAACUACUUGGCCAAAUUACACCAAACUUGGCCAAAAUCAUCAUUGGGGUAUCUUGUUUAAAAAAUGUGUCCAGUGACCCGGCCAACCAUCCAAGAUGGCCGCCAUGGCUAAAAAUAGAACAUAGGGGUAAAAUGCAGUUUUGGGCUUAUAACUCAAAAACCAAAGCAUUUAGAGCAAAUCUGACAAGG
RNAcentral lists this long non-coding RNA (2739 nucleotides) under Mytilus galloprovincialis (Mediterranean mussel). The record is from RNAcentral. Lineage: Eukaryota; Metazoa; Mollusca; Bivalvia; Mytilida; Mytilidae.